RNAcentral lists this ribosomal RNA (366 nucleotides) under uncultured eukaryote. Its description in RNAcentral is "bacterial SSU rRNA". It matches the Rfam family "Eukaryotic small subunit ribosomal RNA", at positions 55 to 374 of the family's 1831-position model. The record is from RNAcentral.
AAAAGAUCAUAGUAAGACUAUCUCAAGUGAAACUGCGAAUGGCUCAUUAAAUCAGCUAAGGUUCCUUAGAUCGUACAAUCCUACUUGGAUAACUGUAGUAAUUCUAGAGCUAAUACAUGCAACAAGCUCCGACCUUCCCUGGGAAGAGCGCUUUUAUUAAAUCAAAACCAAUCGGUUCCUUCGGGUUCCGUCCAAUUGGUGACUCUGGAUAACUUUGUGCUGAUCGCAUGGCCACGACCCGGCCACAUAUCUUUCAAAUGUCUGCCCUAUCAACUUUCGAUGGUACCUGAUAUGGCUACCAUGGUUGCAACGGGUAACGGGGAAUGGGGCGGGGGCGGCGGGCCGGGCGCGGGGCGCGGCGGGCGA